UUAAAAGUCAACAGACCCCAGAAGCCUGUGACAUUCCAGAAGUGCCUUUGACCAGGUUCCUUUGCCAAAAUACCUUCUCCUCACCCCACAUCCUAUACCGCACUCCCAGUGGCCACCUUUAACUGCAGACAAUUUCAAUGUCUUACAAAACACAAAAAUUUUGGAGAUGAUUCAGGUCAGCGGUACUGUGUUAAGAACAGGCUGGCUUUGUUCAGCUGCUCAGCUGCUGAGCCCUGCAUCGAGCAGUGGUAGCACAGACCUGCACAGCCUUCCACCAUGCUUCAUCCUUCUACAAAUGCUCAGGCUUGUAACCAUAUGCAAGAUUUGGAUUAGUCAGCUGAAGGAAUAUAUUCAUCUUUCCCCCUUACUCAGUGUCAGAGAUGGGACUUUAUUGACUUCAGUGUGGUACCUCCUCAUUCAGAGCAAUGUAGGAGAUUAAACUCAAAAUUCUGGGAAAAAUUCUUUUUUGACUGUCAUUCCACUUUGUACCUAAGAUGUGGCCUUUUGUGCUUGAUUUUUGUAUAUUUGUGUAGGGUAUAUAUAUGUUUAUAUACUGUUAUACAAAUCAGGAUUAUAAUAUUCUUCAUACAGAAUCUUCCUCUGUCAUUAAAAAGAAAAAAAGAAUCUCUCCUUUCUUCAUACAUUUAUUUUUAAGGCUGCUUUUUUAUUUUUUAUAUACUUCCAAAAAGGCAAGGAAAAUAGAUUUUUAAAAAUCCUUUCAAUUUUUUUAUGUCCUUAACUUCAUACUGCAACAAACAGUGCAGCUCCAUGUUACAAAGAAAUUGCAUUACUACAAGCCCACCCAGAUAGUUUGUGACCUGUUCUUUUGCUAGUCUAAAGGUGACUUUCAUUUUCAUGUUGACUUUACUCUGUGCCCAUUUGGAGGUUCAUUCAGUGAAAUAAAAUUGCCUUGUAAUUAUUUCUACUUAAAGAAAUAUGACAGCUAGAAUUUUUAUGUUAAUUAAUCUUUGUGGUUUUUUCAUUAUUGUGCGUCUGCCUAUCAUAAAUUUCAUUGCAAUCCAGUCUUAAUACAUUCUAUAAAUUAUUGUGGUUUCUUUCAGGCCCAUCAUGCCUUGCAAAUUGUUGACUUUGCACAGAUUUCUGUUGUUUGCUGUAGUACCACCACAUGUAAUUCAGCAGGAAUAGUUUGCAUCUCUGAAAAUACACAAUUUGGAAGGUUACUCAUCAGAAAUGAGCCCAUGGUCAGAGCACAAUCAUGUUACGAGUGUCUGUAAAAAAGUUAAAAGACAUUUUAAAAAGCUAAAAAGUAAUAUCUAAUCCAGGGUAUACUGGACUGAAGGGAACAAAGAAGGCAUUACGUUUCUUCUUGUUUUGCUGGCUCAGUGAAAUUAGGAAGCCACUGUUUCCUCACCUGCAUGCCCAGUAAAGGGCCAUCUGUUUCCUGUUUAAAUGUAAUAUCUCUUACAUGGUUUUUCCAAAACCCCUCUUACAUUAAUCAACGCAAUCCCAAUAAACAGAAACACCAAAUCUUGCUUAUCUGUCUUACUCAAAAAGCAUUUUGGUAGUUGCAUCUACCACACUUUGGCUUUACUAAAAUGCUUUUUUUACACUAACAUUCACUUUUGUUCUCUGAAUUUUAAAAAUGUCUCCUCUAGUUAUAGGCUGAUUUUGCAAGCUUUCUGCAACAGCCUGAACUCCUAAAAUAAUUAUGUGUUGAUUUUUUUUCACUAAGGGUUUAAAUCUGGGUCUGGUGUCAUGUGUUGGAGUUAAACAUCUUCAUGAAUGUUAUUAUAAAUUUAACACUGAGUUAAAGAUAAUAAGGUCAAAUGUAUCCUUGAUACAUUGCUUUGGAUGAAGGUAAAAAAUAAUGAACAUGGUCUGGUCUCAUUAUCAUGGUUUAGAUUUACAGGAAAUCAUUGGUGAAUGGAUACUUCUGGUAGGAAGAAUCAAUGAGCCAAAUUGGUUACUUGGAUUGGGGUGAGAUUUACACUGAGAGCUAAUACCUUUUAUUAUAUCCAAUAAUUGCAGUAUUAUGAUGCCACCACAAUGAAUGCAGACACGAUAAUUAUCGGGCGUCAUCUUUAGAUAA
Molecule: non-coding RNA, 2050 nt
Organism: Taeniopygia guttata (zebra finch)
Lineage: Eukaryota; Metazoa; Chordata; Aves; Passeriformes; Estrildidae
Source: RefSeq, a predicted model, not a curated record